UAUAUAUAUAUAUAUAUAUAUAUAUAUAUAUAUAUAGAGAGAGAGAGAGAGAGAGAGAGAGAGAGAGAGAGAGAGGAGAGUUUUGCUAGAAUACUAUCGGUAGUAAACGGCAAGGUUUACUACCGAUUUGUUUUCGAUGAUAGAGCUUCCAAAUUGAUGAUCGGCACCGUUAAACAUCAUCUAAACUAUUUAAACUAUCGGGAAAUCAAAUUUCACACAUUUUCGAUAUUGUUCUCUUGUCCAUCGAGUGACAAAAAAAUGAAUGGCUGGAAAUGAAUAUCCUUCAAAAAGUGAUGAUACAAUUUUUAUAUUUGAAAUCUAAAGUCUAGAUCUUAUUUUAAAUAGUUUAAAAAAAAUUUUAACAAAAAUUUAGUUGAUUUGAACUCUUCUAUACCGUUAAACGAGCAAACGCAUCAUAUCGGCCAUUAAAAUUAUAGAUUUUGUGACCCUUUGAUCGUUCAGUUAGUGAUGCCAACAAAUCAUGAAAUUUUAUUUUUAGAUAAUUUAAAUGGUCUAGAUCAUGUUCAACGGUGCCGAUCGUCGAUUUGGAAACUCUAUCAUCAUAAAUAAAUCGGUAGUAAACCGAGCAGUUUACUACCGUUAGUAGCACAGUAAAACUCUUUCUCUCUCUAUAUAUAUAUAUAUAUAGAAUUACGCUACUAUACUAUCAAUAGUACCAAGUCCUUGGUACUUUUGAGUUUUCGGCCGUUGGUUUCAAUUUCUCUCUUUUAGGGCACUGCGAGUGUGCNAUAUAUAUAUGUAUAUAUAUAGUGUAGAGCUACUAUACUAUUGGAAGUAUAAAGGAUUUGAUCCUUCCUAUUUUUUGACCAUUGGAUCAAAAAUUGUAUGGUAGGGAUGAUUGCAGUCCCCUUAGAGUUCAGUAUUACCCUUAGGAUUGAGUGGUCCCCAUAGGGUAAUAAUGUUAAUUCAAAUAUUACAAAUAAUUAAAGGGGCUGAUCUAAGAGCCAAAAAGUCGGAAGCACCAGAUCCGUUAUGCUUUCGAUAACAUAGUAACUCUACUCAUAUA
This 1027-nucleotide long non-coding RNA is filed under the name Ananas comosus (pineapple). RNAcentral describes it as "long non-coding RNA (ACOM_LNC019663)". Lineage: Eukaryota; Viridiplantae; Streptophyta; Magnoliopsida; Poales; Bromeliaceae. The record is from RNAcentral.